AUACAUCAAUUAAGGUGAUAACACCAGCACACAAAAGAAAGUCCACUUAUCAAAGAUCCACGAUUCACGUGUUUUAAAUCUGUCGGAUAUCAGUGAAAAUUUACCAGCAAUAUGUGAACGCAAAUAUCAUAUAUUGGGAGAUGGAGCAUAUUCUAUAAGAGAGUGGCUAUUGGUUCCCUAUAGAGAUUAUGGAAAUCUGACGGAUAAACAACGCAAAUUUAAUAAACGAUUCUGUGCGACACGAGUAUUAAUUGAAAAUGCAUUUGGACUAUUAAAGAGCCGUUUUCGACAACUCACAGAGUUACAUAUUCACAGUGUUGAUAAAAUAUCAAAAUUCAUUAUUUCUUGUUGUGUUCUAUACAAUUUAUGUAUUGAUAACAACGAUAAUUUUGAUCUUGAAUUCGAUGUUAACAACGAAGAUAAUAACGAAGAACUGAAUAAUGAAGUUCGAGGAGAGCAAGAAACUCUACUCCGCAGAUUGGGCGAAAUAAAAAGGAAUGAAUUAUUG
This is a long non-coding RNA of Wasmannia auropunctata (little fire ant), 508 nucleotides long. RefSeq lists it as uncharacterized. The transcript has 2 exons. Lineage: Eukaryota; Metazoa; Arthropoda; Insecta; Hymenoptera; Formicidae. The record is from RefSeq and is a predicted model, not a curated record.